This 559-nucleotide ribosomal RNA is filed under the name uncultured marine group I thaumarchaeote. RNAcentral's name for it is "bacterial SSU rRNA". It matches the Rfam family "Archaeal small subunit ribosomal RNA", at positions 1 to 566 of the family's 1478-position model. The record is from RNAcentral. Lineage: Archaea; Thermoproteati; Nitrososphaerota.
UUCCGGUUGAUCCUGCCGGACCUGACUGCUAUCGGAUUGAUACUAAGCCAUGCGAGUCAUUGUAGCAAUACAAGGCAUACGGCUCAGUAACGCGUAGUCAACCUAACCUAUGGACGGGAAUAACCUCGGGAAACUGAGAAUAAUGCCCGAUAGUACACUAUACCUGGAAUGGUUUGUGUUCCAAAUGAUUUAUCGCCGUAGGAUGGGACUGCGGCCUAUCAGUUUGUUGGUGAGGUAAUGGCCCACCAAGACUAUUACAGGUACGGGCUCUGAGAGGAGUAGCCCGGAGAUGGGUACUGAGACACGGACCCAGGCCCUAUGGGGCGCAGCAGGCGAGAAAACUUUGCAAUGUGCGAAAGCACGACAAGGUUAAUCCGAGUGGUUUCUGCUAAAGGAACCUUUUGUUAGUCCUAGAAACACUAACGAAUAAGGGGUGGGCAAGUUCUGGUGUCAGCCGCCGCGGUAAAACCAGCACCUCAAGUGGUCAGGAUGAUUAUUGGGCCUAAAGCAUCCGUAGCCGGCUCUGUAAGUUUUCGGUUAAAUCUGUACGCUCAACGUA